This 339-nucleotide unclassified non-coding RNA is filed under the name soil metagenome. RNAcentral describes it as "partial contains 5.8S ribosomal RNA, internal transcribed spacer 2, and large subunit ribosomal RNA". The stretch from base 1 to 121 matches the Rfam family "5.8S ribosomal RNA", at positions 35 to 154 of the family's 154-position model. The record is from RNAcentral.
GAUGAAGAACGCAGCGAAAUGCGAUAAGUAAUGCGAAUUGCAGAAUUUCCGUGAGUCAUCGAAUCUUUGAACGCACAUUGCGCCCGCCAGCAUUCUGGCGGGCAUGCCUGUUCGAGCGUCAUUUCAACCCUCAAGCUCUGCUUGGUGUUGGGGCCCUACGGUUGACGUAGGCCCUUAAAGGUAGUGGCGGACCCUCUCGGAGCCUCCUUUGCGUAGUAACUAACGUCUCGCAUUGGGAUUCGGAGGGACUCUUGCCGUAAAACCCCCAAAUUUUCUAAUGGUUGACCUCGGAUCAGGUAGGAAUACCCGCUGAACUUAAGCAUAUCAAUAAGCGGAGGA